GCCGAGGUGUGUCCGCGGGCCUGGGAGGUACCCACCCCCCUUCCCGCCGCCAGCGGGGCCAGGCCCCGCUGCUGUGGUGCGCGGGGGUGGGGGUGUGCCGUUACCAUGGCAAGGGCGGCCGCGUGGGUCUCUCCUGGCCCCACGCCCUGACCGAUGGACCCAGCUUGGUCUUGCUGAACCAACCACAGGGCAGCCGCCAGGAAGUAACCGGUGUUUUGUGGAAGGCACAAAACGACGCCCCCUUUGGGCAAGAGGGUUCCCCUUUUCUGUUCGGCGAAGGAAAGCAACCAGGGAGUCUGCAGAGGAUAGACAUUGGAGCGUUCGGCCACCACCCAGUCUCCUGCCGUUCCUUCCUGCUCUUCCCUGCGGGGCUCGAGUAAAGCUUCGCGCCUCCCGCAGUCCGACUACUCACAUCUGGCCGGCAGCUGGGAACCACCCACCACAAACUACUGAGGACACGGCGCCCUCUGUUGGUGCUGAGUAGUGACGCACCAGGUGCUGUGUCGUGCGCCUCUGCGGCAGAGGGUCCAGGGUUUCGCUCUCGAUCCAAGGGUCUCGGGUCCACUCAUUCGGUAUCCUUUGCUUGCGGAAAACCUCCACCCUCUGACUCGCGUAGCUCAAAAUCGUACUGUGAGGGCCCUUAGCUUUCUGCCUGUCCCAAUCGAUCUUGCCAAUCCUCUCUUCUGCAUGCACGUGUGCCUAAAACCCAGUCCAGGACCAAGCUUCUCCUUAUCUCACAAGGUCACAAGCUCUGACUUCAGGUUCUGAGACCUGUCCUUCCACGCCCCACGAUCACUCAGUGCUGAACGUGAAAGUCCUAAAUAAAGAACACUGUUACAUAAAUAA
Peromyscus eremicus (cactus mouse) is the source of this 846-nucleotide long non-coding RNA. RefSeq lists it as uncharacterized. The transcript is spliced from 2 exons. Lineage: Eukaryota; Metazoa; Chordata; Mammalia; Rodentia; Cricetidae. The record is from RefSeq and is a predicted model, not a curated record.